Molecule: long non-coding RNA, 632 nt
Filed under: Cricetulus griseus (Chinese hamster)
Lineage: Eukaryota; Metazoa; Chordata; Mammalia; Rodentia; Cricetidae
Description: lncRNA (ENSCGRG00015033385.1)
Source: RNAcentral
CUUUCAGCUUGCAUACAGACUGCUGCCACGCCGGCUGGCUAGGUCGUUCUGUUCUCCAGGAUCCCAACCCGCUGCCAUUGAGCUGCUCAGAAGAGCCUUCCACCCAGCUUGGAGACUCACACAGACCUCCUACGGUUUUACCACCAUAUGCUCGGGACCAGCUCGGACUGCAGCCUACCCGCGCCCAGAUGCCUCCUCGGCUUUCAGCAGGCUGCCACCGACCACUGCCAAACACCACAGAUUAACUGAACACCUGUGCCACUUGCUGGUCAAAGAUAGUUACUGCAUCUGCAGUGGAAAUCAGGAGAAGAAAACCUUUGGAUACCAUCAAAGUUGAUCAAGAUUCGAGUGGAAAAGGAAAAACCUCUCAACGAGGACAAUUGACAGGUAUUCUACUAAGGUAUAUCUCAUAAACUAAAUAGAAACCCCCCCAAAGGAAAGGGAAGUGUUUUGCUUUUAUCUUCACAGGAAAACUCAUCUCCAGAAGGCAAAGGAUACUGCAUGGGUAGAUACUUAAGAAGAAAAGGUGGCUAUAAUCAUCAAACAAAAGGAACGUGCCAUAUGGUAAACUUUACAGCUGUCUCUCAGAGAACUCUAUUUCUCUUUAUUUCCUAGUCCCUAUUCAAUUAAAC